AAUUGAUAGUUCAAGGUGAUAUAAUAUUUAAAAUAAUUGAUAUUUUUUAUUUUUUUUUUUUUUUUUUUUCAUCGUAAUAAGGAAUAAAAUCGAAUUUUCGGGAGAGAUAAUGCGCGGAAAUACCGUGAAAAUAUUAUCAUCGUUAAAUAAAACGGGAUAACAAAAAACGGCACGGGUAUAUGGGUUUCAAAUCGCGAAGUUUAUCUUAUAUUGCUAUUACGCCGCGAUUGGUUUUCAAUGUACCUGCGUAGUUUGUUUGUUGUUUUUUUUUUCUCCGCUUUUUCGGGUAUACGCGCCGUUUUAUACGGCACCGAUUCGUUUCUAUUAUUUCCGCAUAUCGCCCUGGAGGCGGAGGCACGACACUUGUAUGUAAACAUCGUCGCGAACGCAACGGAGACCCUCUAGAGAGAAAAUUGAAACGAAUUGUUAAAAACACCGAAAACAAGGCGGCAACGGAGGCGGAGAAGAAGGAUUUAGAGCGGUUUACGCGUCCGGACGAUAUUUUAUUGUUAGUGUGGUGUGACUAACGCCUACGGGGAAAAGCGAAGGGCGUUCAAGUUAAUUGCAAACUUUAACGCUGCAAAUAAAUAAAAUCAUUGUCACGUCUCCUGCAGCUCCGGCCCGGAGAUACAUCACGGAACCCGACUUCCCAAAGGCGUAUAUAGAUAACGCGAAAUAAUACCGGUAUCGGUAUUAACCGAUAGCGGAAUGUUUUGAAAAUUGGAUUUUCAAUCCCGGUUUAAACCACGUCAGUGUUCCCGGAUAUAAGGGACAGUGCAAUUACGUACGUUUAAAUGGCGGGGAAUAUCGUUACUGGUCAAAUUCGUAUUAUAUAAUUUACACCCGGUAUAUAGGUAUAAAAAAAAAAAAACCACAUUUCAUUAGCAAAGUAAGCGUUUUAUUUAUUUAUUUAUUUUUUUUUUUUAUAGAUACAAAAUCGAUUAACAGACGAACGCACGCCAAUAUUGUUAGAGCCUAAAAGUCGUUCGUUAAAACGUUCGGUUUGAGGUGCGUGACGCUACACCGAAGUGAGUCGUGGACUGCGUUGAACGAACAGAGAAACGUUGGAAUCGCGGACGUGGCGUAGCCGAUGAAGACUGCGAGCUGAACGGAAAGGUAAACUAAUGUAAACAUAUUACAAACACGGUACGAGAGCCGAAACAAAUCGUUAUAACGAUCGAUACGUGAAGGACAACAUUUAUUGGACAC
Molecule: non-coding RNA, 1209 nt
Organism: Cinara cedri
Lineage: Eukaryota; Metazoa; Arthropoda; Insecta; Hemiptera; Aphididae
Source: the annotation of a GenBank genome assembly